Molecule: long non-coding RNA, 592 nt
Organism: Hemicordylus capensis (graceful crag lizard)
Lineage: Eukaryota; Metazoa; Chordata; Lepidosauria; Squamata; Cordylidae
Exons: 3
Source: RefSeq, a predicted model, not a curated record
GCUCUGCAGCACUUGCACUCUUUUCAAAAAAGAUGAACGGAAGGAAUGCUUAUUUCAUUACCAGCCUUCCUAUCCAAACUUUAACAAGGAGCAGGGAAAGGGGGGGGGGAUGUCAACUUGAGUCGCCGUCGAAAAGUCAUGCUUUCACCAGUAAAGACACUGAUGACAUUCAAAGGAAGGAAGAAGCAAGAUGAAGCUAAGGAAAAGGAGUCUUCUUCCAGCACUGAAGGAGGAGAGAAAUUUGGCUUGAGAGAGAAACACAGGACAGGAAGCCACAAUCCAGACGGAACAUGGUGAAACAGACUGUUUCCAGAUUCGCAAAGCAGUAAGACAAGGCUGUAUACUUUCUCCUUUAUUCAAUGUAUAUGCUGAACAUAUACUGAGAGAAGCUGGAUUGGAAGAAGAUGAGCAUGUUUUUAAAGUUGGAGGAAGAAAUACCGAUAACCUGCGCUACGCUGUUGACACCACUCUGAUAGUUGAGAAUGCAAAUGAUCAGCAAGCUCUAGUAAUGAAAGUCAAGGAGCUCAGUGAAAAAAUGGGACUACAACUAAAUGUAAAGAAAACUACACUAAUAACAAAGGGUAUAUAGCAA